RNAcentral lists this unclassified non-coding RNA (161 nucleotides) under fungal sp. RNAcentral describes it as "partial internal transcribed spacer region". The stretch from base 1 to 46 matches the Rfam family "Eukaryotic small subunit ribosomal RNA", at positions 1786 to 1831 of the family's 1831-position model. The record is from RNAcentral. Lineage: Eukaryota; Fungi. RNAcentral also lists the same sequence under 1 other name.
AAGUCGUAACAAGGUUUCCGUAGGUGAACCUGCGGAAGGAUCAUUACCGAGCUUUAGGGACUCCUUCGGGAGCCCGAGACUCUCCACACCUGCGUAUGCAUAUCAUUAUGUUUUUAAACCAAACAAAACAAAAACUUUCAACAACGGAUCUCUUGGUUCUG